Rattus norvegicus (Norway rat) is the source of this 631-nucleotide non-coding RNA. NCBI's taxonomy places the organism in Eukaryota, Metazoa, Chordata, Mammalia, Rodentia, Muridae. The record is from RefSeq and is a predicted model, not a curated record.
GUGCACACACUUUGCAGGGCAUGUGUGUGUUCAGAAGGCUGCAGUGAUGCUGUGAACUGCACUACAGCCACGUGAUGUCAGAAACAUUCCUGGCUGGGAUCAGGGGAGUAGUGGCUUCCAACAGCUGCAGCUGCCCGCCCUGUUGGGAAAUAUCCUUGACCUGGAAAGACUACCUCAUUCAAGGUGAAAUGAUUUCCUAGGGUCUACCAAGGACCAAAAAUAGACUGGUUCAGGAAUGGUCAGCAACAGCUCUAUGGCUUCCGUGUGUGACAAGCCUGAAGAGCCCCCAUCCCCAGAGUACCAUGCUGAGAUGCUGCCUCCCAAGUGCCAAAACACCGUGCCGACUCUACUGAUGCAACAGUCUACUGCACACCAACCAGCUCAGAGCAACUCUGCCUCCCCCGUGUCCAUGCAUGUCUGCGUCUUAGAAUAAUCAUCAGUAGCCAUCUCUAGGCAAUUCCUGGUCUUGUGGUUUGACUCCAAAGAUUCUGAUCAACUCUUGUCUUUAGUGUCUUAUGAUUUCUACUUGCUUUUGCAGGAAAAAAAUAAACAAAACAGUUUGCUCUUGUAACAGUAGUAGAACUAGAGUUCAGCUAUAUUAAAAAUUAAAGAGGCAUUUGCUUAAUUAAAA